UACGGGGGGGGCAAGCGUUGUUCGGAAUUACUGGGCGUAAAGGGUGUGUAGGUGGCGCGCUAAGUCGGGUGUGAAAUUUCGGAGCUUAACUCCGAAACUGCAUUCGAUACUGGCGUGCUUGAGGACUGGAGAGGAGACUGGAAUUCAUGGUGUAGCAGUGAAAUGCGUAGAGAUGUGGAGGAACACCAGUGGCGAAGGCGACUCUUUGGCCUGUAACUGACGCUGAGGCGCGAAAGCGUGGGGAGCAAACAGG
This 253-nucleotide ribosomal RNA is filed under the name uncultured bacterium. Its description in RNAcentral is "partial 16S ribosomal RNA". It matches the Rfam family "Bacterial small subunit ribosomal RNA", at positions 524 to 776 of the family's 1533-position model. The record is from RNAcentral.